GACUUCUUAUCAGCAAGAUGGAGUUAAAACCUGCUAUUGCUAAACAGGUCACGAUUGCAUUUCAAACGAACAUUGAAAAAGAAAAAGAUGAAGAAAAAAAGGUAGGAAAAGGAAGAAAAAAAAGAGAGGAGUAAGUACCAUUUCUCUGAAACGGAGCUGAAAUUAUAGAACAAUUCGCAGGCGUUCUUAGAGAAGAAGGGCGAACUCGUGAAAAGUGGCUCGAUGUGAACAACGGCGACAAAAAAGGUGGAGUGAAACGACGCAAAGUAGUCCAGAAGACGUAUCGGUUAUCGAUAAAAAUUCUAUCAAAUGAAUUACGAGAAACCUGAGCAAUGGAAGCGUCGACGGAGCGAAAGGUGGAACAGAGAGAUAUCGAACAUGAAACGUGCUACGCUGUCACAGACCAAUUCGGUUAUCUCCUUCAUAGCGACACGAUAAAUAUCGACGCUAAUUAAUUUACUGGCUCACGCUGACUCGAAUUCGUGGGAAAAUGUGCGAACCAUCGCUGACAGUAGCGAAAGGACUAAACCUUGUAAAUGUGCGACGUCCCUGGCGCUCUAUACGAUAAAAGGAAAGAAAAAAAGAAAAUCCAAAUUUCAUGGAAUUACAUAAUCCCACGGUUUAUUACCGGGGCUUACAUAAGUAAAAUCUUUUUAUUUCGAUUCCAUAUAAAGGCAAGAAUCUAAUCGAAUUUGUGGCAAACAUUACGCAACUGUACUACUCGUACCUGUUUACAUUCGAAACGGGAAGCUUUGGUUCGAGGAAAUCUGUGAAAAUUGCGACACGAUGCACCGCGAAAAUAGGAACGGGUCAUGAUCGUUGGCGACGUCAAUUAUUUUAGCCCGUCUGCCCGUGAAUCGAGCGACAUUUAUCCAUUCACGAGUACUCUUGCCAACGAACGUCGCGUCGCGUCGAGCGACAUUACCGUGAAAAAUGAACGAAAAGAUAACGAGAAGUUGGCGAUGAAUGUCAAGUAAAUACAACAUUGCCGACUAGGGACGAUUAUGUGCUCUAACGCGUCCUACGGGAACACUGUUCUCCGUUUCAGGAUUAAGAUGGACCGUGAUACUCGGUUAACCUCUACCUUAUCCUCUCGAUCUAUUAGAAAUCCAGCUCUUGAAUUUUGGCUUACAAAACUUAUUACAUUUGAUCGUAUCAUGGGACAAUACGUUACAGGAUACAUUUUCAAACGUUAGGAAGGAAAGUUACUUUGUUAGAAGUAUGGCGUAUAAGACGAUAUUACGCGAUAAGUUUUUGUUUGCGGAAAGGCGACAACGCACACGGUACCAGCAUAUGACAGGUACAUGGAGCAAUGCCAAGUUAAGGAGGUAGAAACCUUGCUAUCUAAGGAACUAAAAAUCCUGCCAUUGAAAAUCAUAAGCA
Molecule: non-coding RNA, 1383 nt
Organism: Osmia lignaria (orchard mason bee)
Lineage: Eukaryota; Metazoa; Arthropoda; Insecta; Hymenoptera; Megachilidae
Source: RefSeq, a predicted model, not a curated record